GUGAAGAAGGCCCUCGGGUUGUAAAGCACUUUCAGCGAGGAAGAACGCCUGUCGGUUAAUACCCGGCAGGAAAGACAUCACUCGCAGAAGAAGCACCGGCUAACUCCGUGCCAGCAGCCGCGGUAAUACGGAGGGUGCAAGCGUUAAUCGGAAUUACUGGGCGUAAAGCGCGCGUAGGUGGCUUGAUAAGCCGGUUGUGAAAGCCCCGGGCUCAACCUGGGAACGGCAUCCGGAACUAUUAGGCUAGAGUGCAGGAGAGGAAGGUAGAAUUCCCGGUGUAGCGGUGAAAUGCGUAGAGAUCGGGAGGAAUACCAGUGGCGAAGGCGGCCUUCUGGACUGACACUGACACUGAGGUGCGAAAGCGUGGGUAGCAAACAGGAUUAGAUACCCUGGUAGUCCACGCCGUAAACGAUGUCGACCAGCCGUUGGGUGCCUAGCGCACUU
Molecule: ribosomal RNA, 444 nt
Filed under: uncultured Halomonas sp.
Lineage: Bacteria; Pseudomonadati; Pseudomonadota; Gammaproteobacteria; Oceanospirillales; Halomonadaceae
Description: bacterial SSU rRNA
Rfam family: Bacterial small subunit ribosomal RNA
Source: RNAcentral